RNAcentral lists this ribosomal RNA (484 nucleotides) under uncultured bacterium. Its description in RNAcentral is "partial 16S ribosomal RNA". It matches the Rfam family "Bacterial small subunit ribosomal RNA", at positions 30 to 507 of the family's 1533-position model. The record is from RNAcentral.
AUUGAACGCUGGCGGCAUGCUUUACACAUGCAAGUCGAACGGCAGCGCGGGCUUCGGCCUGGCGGCGAGUGGCGAACGGGUGAGUAAUACAUCUGAACGUGCCCAGUAGUGGGGGAUAGCUCGGCGAAAGCCGGAUUAAUACCGCAUACGACCUGAGGGUGAAAGCGGGGGAUCUUCGGACCUCGAGGUUUUUGAGCGGCCGAUGGCGGAUUAGCUAGUUGGUGGGGUAAAGGCCUACCAAGGCGACGAUCUGUAGCUGGUCUGAGAGGACGACCAGCCACACUGGGACUGAGACACGGCCCAGGCUCCUACGGGAGGCAGCAGUGGGGAAUUUUGGACAAUGGGCGAAAGCCUGAUCCAGCAAUGCCGCGUGUGUGAUGAAGGCCUUCGGGUUGUAAAGCCCUUUUGUUGGGAAAGAAAAGGAGUGUACGAAUACGACGGUUUGGUGACGGUACCUGAAGAAUAAGCACCGGCUAACUACGUG